GAUGAACGCUGGCGGCGUGCCUAACACAUGCAAGUCGAGCGAAGCACUUUACUUAGAUUCUUCGGAUGAAGAGGAUUGUGACUGAGCGGCGGACGGGUGAGUAACGCGUGGGUAACCUGCCUCAUACAGGGGGAUAACAGUUAGAAAUGACUGCUAAUACCGCAUAAGACCACAGCACCGCAUGGUGCGGGGGUAAAAACUCCGGUGGUAUGAGAUGGACCCGCGUCUGAUUAGCUAGUUGGUAAGGUAACGGCUUACCAAGGCGACGAUCAGUAGCCGACCUGAGAGGGUGACCGGCCACAUUGGGACUGAGACACGGCCCAAACUCCUACGGGAGGCAGCAGUGGGGAAUAUUGCACAAUGGGGGAAACCCUGAUGCAGCGACGCCGCGUGAGCGAAGAAGUAUUUCGGUAUGUAAAGCUCUAUCAGCAGGGAAGAAAAUGACGG
Molecule: ribosomal RNA, 447 nt
Filed under: uncultured bacterium
Lineage: Bacteria
Description: bacterial SSU rRNA
Rfam family: Bacterial small subunit ribosomal RNA
Source: RNAcentral